Molecule: ribosomal RNA, 1302 nt
Filed under: Triticum aestivum (bread wheat)
Lineage: Eukaryota; Viridiplantae; Streptophyta; Magnoliopsida; Poales; Poaceae
Description: partial small subunit ribosomal RNA
Source: RNAcentral
AUGGACAUGACCGGGCAGCUACCCGAGGACAUGCUCCUGGACGUCCUCCGCCGCCUCUCUCCCCGCAGCCUCGCGGCGUGCCGCUGCGUCCGCAAGGAAUGGCGCACGGACCUUCUCCCGCUCUCGCUCGACGGCGUCUUCCUCGAGUUGCGCGACCCGGACCUGCCCCUCGAGCGGAUGGAGCACCCCAUGCCCGCGCUCUUCUCACGCCGCACCACGGCGCGCCGGAUCGCCGCCAGCCUUGGCUACCCGGACACCCCCUGCAUCUACGAGUGCGGUGUGCAGGACUGCUGCAACGGCCUCCUCCUCCUGCUUUGUGACUACGUGGUUAAUCCUGCCACGCUACAGUGGGUGGAAUUGCCUACAGCGCCACGCCGGUGCUGCUUUCUCUGCAUGAGCAGUCCCUACCUCGUGUUUGAUCCAACGGUGUCGCAACACUACGAGGUGCUCUCGGUCCCGGACAUACCAUGGAACCUCCCAACGGGACACAUUUCCAAGCAUGCGUGCAUGGAUAAGCCGGUGUCCGAGAUGGAGUGGCCGCCUUCGCCGUACAUCGUGAAUGUCUUCUCGUCACGGGCCGGCGAGUGGAAGCAGAGGUCGUUUGUUCGGGAGGGGAAGGCCGCGGGAACGGUCGCCGAGUGCAGGUCGAAAGAAAGACGCAUACUGCGUUAUGCUGCUUACUGGCAUGGAGCACUCUACGUCUCUUGCGAAGACAAUUUUGUUUUGAGAAUGAACUUGUCAAAUGAUAAAUACCAAGUAAUUCAGUGCCCUCAAGGAAAGAAGCUAGAGUCUUAUGCACCUCGCCUCGGCAAAUCCAAGAAGGGUGUCUAUUGUGCGUUCCGUGUUGCACGUGAUGCAUUCCAGGUAUGGUUCCUUAACGAAACGGAUGGAAAGAUGGAAUGGGUAUUGAACAAUGACAUCAACUUUGAGCAUGUUUCAAAAUGCCCUCGUAACUUUGUUCGGGGACCAUGGAUCUUACAAGGAAGCGACAAUAACGAAGAGCUAGUCGAAGACAACUCUGAAUGGGACCCAAACAAUGAUAACGUGGUUAGCGCUGAAGAUUGGGUUGUCAAGUACGGUUCUAACUCAACAAUUGAUUUUCUUGGAUUUCAUCCUUACAAAGAGAUUGCCCUGUUUGAAUCGACCGGCCAUGUAAUGGCCUACCAUAUGAACACUUCAACGGUUCGGGAUUUGGGUCAUAUUAAAAUGGGGAGGAACGAGAUUGAAUGUUCUUUCCCAUACAUGCCAUGUUGGAUGGGGCCGUUACCCAGAAGCCAUUAUAGAACCCAGUUUUGUUCAUAG